CCUACGGGAGGCAGCAGUGAGGAAUAUUGGUCAAUGGCCGAAACGCUGAAGCAGCGAAACCGCGUGAGUGAAGAAGUAAUUAGUUACGUAAAGCUCUAUCUGCAGGGAAGAAACACUGACCUUACGGUCCGGACACGGUACCUGUGUAAGAAACCCCGGCGAAAUACGUGUCAGCAGCCGCGGUAAAAAGUAGGGGGCAAGAGUUUUCCGGGUUUUCUGGGGGUAAAGGGGGGGUAGACGGUGCGCCAAGUCUGGGGUGAAAUGCCGCAGCUUAACUGCGGAACUGCUGUUGAAAAUGGCUGUCUAGAGUGCGGGAGGGGUAAGCGGAAUGCGUAGUGUAGCGGUGAAAUGCGUAGAUAUUAGGAAGAACACCGAUUGCGAAGGCAGCAUACUGGCGCGUAACUGACGUUGAGGCUCGAAAGCGUGGGUAUCAAACAGGAUUAGAUACCCGAGUAGUC
RNAcentral lists this ribosomal RNA (458 nucleotides) under uncultured bacterium. RNAcentral's name for it is "partial 16S ribosomal RNA". It matches the Rfam family "Bacterial small subunit ribosomal RNA", at positions 338 to 795 of the family's 1533-position model. The record is from RNAcentral.